This 319-nucleotide ribosomal RNA is filed under the name uncultured bacterium. RNAcentral describes it as "bacterial SSU rRNA". It matches the Rfam family "Bacterial small subunit ribosomal RNA", at positions 28 to 352 of the family's 1533-position model. The record is from RNAcentral.
GACGAACGCUGGCGGCGUGCCUAACACAUGCAAGUCGAACGGGGCCCGCAAAGGGUUCAGUGGCGAACGGGUGCGUAACACGUGAAGAAUUUGUCCAUCGGCGGGGGAUAGCCGGCCCAACGGCCGGGUAAUACCGCGUACGACCCUCGGGGGCAUCCCCUGAAGGUGAAAGCCGCAAGGCACCGAAUGGAGAAACUUCGCGGCCUAUCAGCUAGUUGGUGAGGUCAUGGCUCACCAAGGCGACGACGGGUAGCUGGUCCGAGAGGAUGACCAGCCACAUUGGGACUGAGACACGGCCCAGACUCCUACGGGAGGCAGC